UACGUAGGGUCCGAGCGUUGUCCGGAAUUACUGGGCGUAAAGAGCUCGUAGGCGGUUUGUCGCGUCGGCUGUGAAAGCCCGGAGCUCAACUCCGGGUCUGCAGUCGAUACGGGCAGACUUGAGUGUUGCAGGGGAGACUGGAAUUCCUGGUGUAGCGGUGAAAUGCGCAGAUAUCAGGAGGAACACCGGUGGCGAAGGCGGGUCUCUGGGCCGAUACUGACGCUGAGGAGCGAAAGCGUGGGGAGCGAACAGG
This 253-nucleotide ribosomal RNA is filed under the name uncultured bacterium. RNAcentral's name for it is "partial 16S ribosomal RNA". It matches the Rfam family "Bacterial small subunit ribosomal RNA", at positions 524 to 776 of the family's 1533-position model. The record is from RNAcentral.